This 28-nucleotide non-coding RNA is filed under the name Rattus norvegicus (Norway rat). Lineage: Eukaryota; Metazoa; Chordata; Mammalia; Rodentia; Muridae. The record is from RNAcentral.
UCCACACACAUAUGAACCUAGCGGGUAC